AUUGAACGCUGGCGGCAGGCCUAACACAUGCAAGUCGAACGGUAGCACAGAGGAGCUUGCUCCUUGGGUGACGAGUGGCGGACGGGUGAGUAAUGUCUGGGAAACUGCCCGAUGGAGGGGGAUAACUACUGGAAACGGUAGCUAAUACCGCAUAACGUCGCAAGACCAAAGAGGGGGACCUUCGGGCCUCUUGCCAUCGGAUGUGCCCAGAUGGGAUCAGCUAGUAGGUGGGGUAACGGCUCACCUAGGCGACGAUCCCUAGCUGGUCUGAGAGGAUGACCAGCCACACUGGAACUGAGACACGGUCCAGACUCCUACGGGAGGCAGCAGUGGGGAAUAUUGCACAAUGGGCGCAAGCCUGAUGCAGCCAUGCCGCGUGUAUGAAGAAGGCCUUCGGGUUGUAAAGUACUUUCAGCGAGGAGGAAGGCGUUGUGGUUAAUAACCGCAACGAUUGACGUUACUCGCAGAAGAAGCACCGGCUAACUCCGUGC
This 491-nucleotide ribosomal RNA is filed under the name uncultured Enterobacterales bacterium. RNAcentral's name for it is "bacterial SSU rRNA". It matches the Rfam family "Bacterial small subunit ribosomal RNA", at positions 30 to 508 of the family's 1533-position model. The record is from RNAcentral. Lineage: Bacteria; Pseudomonadati; Pseudomonadota; Gammaproteobacteria; Enterobacterales.